Molecule: unclassified non-coding RNA, 348 nt
Filed under: fungal sp.
Lineage: Eukaryota; Fungi
Description: partial internal transcribed spacer region
Rfam family: Eukaryotic small subunit ribosomal RNA (bases 1-46)
Source: RNAcentral
AAGUCGUAACAAGGUUUCCGUAGGUGAACCUGCGGAAGGAUCAUUAACACGUAUCCAACGUUAAACAACCCUGUGAACUUUCAACGCUCUUGUAACCAGGCGGAACAGCAAUCCCGGUAAAUCAGUGGGCGGAAAAGUUUUGAUUCGGGACCUGCGUCCAAAAGUUACAAUCGAGCUAGGAGCAGUGGCAUGGUUUCCCUGAGUAAGGAUAACGCAUCACGGUUGCCAGAGGUCGAUCACCGGCCGGCAGGCUAUAUGCCCCUUCAUUCACACCUUGCUCUCUCAUGCCCGCCGGAAACGCCGGGCACAAAAACCGAACAACUGUUAACAAUGGAUAUCUUGGUUCUC